Molecule: ribosomal RNA, 488 nt
Filed under: uncultured bacterium
Lineage: Bacteria
Description: bacterial SSU rRNA
Rfam family: Bacterial small subunit ribosomal RNA
Source: RNAcentral
AUUGAACGCUGGCGGAAUGCUUUACACAUGCAAGUCGAACGGUAGAGGGGGCAACCCCUUGAGAGUGGCGAACGGGUGAGUAAUAUAUCGGAACGUGCCCAGUCGUGGGGAUAACGUAGCGAAAGUUACGCUAAUACCGCAUACGAUCUAAGGAUGAAAGCGGGGGAUCGCAAGACCUCGCGCGAUUGGAGCGGCCGAUAUCAGAUUAGGUAGUUGGUGGGGUAAAGGCUCACCAAGCCAACGAUCUGCAGCUGGUCUGAGAGGACGACCAGCCACACUGGAACUGAGACACGGUCCAGACUCCUACGGGAGGCAGCAGUGGGGAAUUUUGGACAAUGGACGCAAGUCUGAUCCAGCCCAUUCCGCGUGCAGGAUGAAGGCCCUCGGGUUGUAAACUGCUUUGUACGGAACGAAAGGUUUCUCUUAAUACGAGAGCUCAUGACGGUACCGUAAGAAUAAGCACCGGCUAACUACGUGCCAGCAGCCGC